RNAcentral lists this ribosomal RNA (253 nucleotides) under uncultured bacterium. RNAcentral's name for it is "partial 16S ribosomal RNA". It matches the Rfam family "Bacterial small subunit ribosomal RNA", at positions 524 to 776 of the family's 1533-position model. The record is from RNAcentral.
GCCGAACCGUCCAAACGUUAUUCGGAAUCACUGGGCUUAAAGGGUGCGUAGGCUGCCCGGUAAGUUGGGUGUGAAAGCCCUCGGCUCAACCGAGGAAUGGCGCCCAAAACUGCCGGGCUCGAGGAAGAUAGAGGUGAGCGGAACUAAGGGUGGAGCGGUGAAAUGCGUUGAUAUCCUUAGGAACACCAGUAGCGAAAGCGGCUCACUGGGUCUUUUCUGACGCUGAGGUACGAAAGCUAGGGGAGCGAACGGG